CGGCAGCUUACCAUGCAAGUCGAGCGGUAACAGGGGGUGCUUGCACCCCGCUGACGAGCGGCGGACGGGUGAGUAAUGCAUAGGAAUCUGCCCAGUAGUGGGGGAUAGCCCGGGGAAACCCGGAUUAAUACCGCAUACGUCCUUCGGGGGAAAGCAGGGGAUCUUCGGACCUUGCGCUAUUGGAUGAGCCUAUGUCGGAUUAGCUAGUUGGUGGGGUAAAGGCCUACCAAGGCGACGAUCCGUAGCUGGUCUGAGAGGAUGAUCAGCCACAUCGGGACUGAGACACGGCCCGAACUCCUACGGGAGGCAGCAGUGGGGAAUAUUGGACAAUGGGGGCAACCCUGAUCCAGCCAUGCCGCGUGUGUGAAGAAGGCUUUCGGGUUGUAAAGCACUUUCAGUGAGGAGGAAAACCUUCUGGUUAAUACCCAUGAGGCUUGACGUUACUCACAGAAGAAGCACCGGCUAACUCCGUGCCAGCAGCCGCGGUAAUACGGAGGGUGCAAGCGUUAAUCGGAAUUACUGGGCGUAAAGCGCGCGUAGGUGGUUUGAUAAGCGAGAUGUGAAAGCCCCGGGCUUAACCUGGGAACGGCAUUUCG
This 596-nucleotide ribosomal RNA is filed under the name Marinobacter sp. Its description in RNAcentral is "bacterial SSU rRNA". It matches the Rfam family "Bacterial small subunit ribosomal RNA", at positions 40 to 630 of the family's 1533-position model. Lineage: Bacteria; Pseudomonadati; Pseudomonadota; Gammaproteobacteria; Pseudomonadales; Marinobacteraceae. The record is from RNAcentral.